AUUGAACGCUGGCGGCAGGCCUAACACAUGCAAGUCGAGCGGAUGAAGGGAGCUUGCUCCUGGCUUCAGCGGCGGACGGGUGAGUAAUGCCUAGGAAUCUGCCUGGUAGUGGGGGAUAACGUCCGGACACGGGCGCUAAUACCGCAUACGUCCUGAGGGAGAAAGGGGGGGAUCUUCAGACCUCACGCUAUCAGAUGAGACUAGGUCGGAUUAGCUAGUUGGUGGGGUAAAGGCCUACCAAGGCGACGAUCCGUAACUGGUCUGAGAGGAUGAUCAGUCACACUGGAACUGAGACACGGUCCAGACUCCUACGGGAGGCAGCAGUGGGGAAUAUUGGACAAUGGGCGAAAGCCUGAUCCAGCCAUGCCGCGUGUGUGAAGAAGGUCUUCGGAUUGUAAAGCACUUUAAGUUGGGAGGAAGGGCAGUAAGUGAAUACCUUGCUGUUUUGACGUUACCAACAGAAUAAGCACCGGCUAACUUCGUG
Molecule: ribosomal RNA, 484 nt
Filed under: uncultured bacterium
Lineage: Bacteria
Description: partial 16S ribosomal RNA
Rfam family: Bacterial small subunit ribosomal RNA
Source: RNAcentral